This 1121-nucleotide long non-coding RNA is filed under the name Nicotiana benthamiana. RNAcentral's name for it is "long non-coding RNA (NBEN_LNC016710)". The record is from RNAcentral. Lineage: Eukaryota; Viridiplantae; Streptophyta; Magnoliopsida; Solanales; Solanaceae.
AAAACUCAACACUCUAUCUUCAAUUGUUUAACAACUCAAAAGAGUGAUAGUAUUAGUACAGCUAACCUUUUGUUGCUCCAUAUAUUGAACCAGAGGAUAUGUGCACCAGACCAGCAACAGAAGAGAUAAAGACAACAGAUCCAUUUCCAGAUGCUUUCAAAAGAGGGUGAGCAAGUUGACACAGAUGGUAUGCAGAUUCUAAGUUGGUACCAAGCAGACGGGCAUAUUCUUCAGCAGUAUAAUCGGUGGUGGGCUUCCUAAUAUUUGUUCCCACAUUGUUUACCUAUGGCCAGAUAUGACAAUUAUGUGGUUCAAAAAAAUUUACACCGUUCGAUAAUUGGGCCAUCUGAAAACAGAAACAUACAUGUACAAGAGCAACAGAUUGGGAAUCAAAAGUUUCUGUAGAACUUCUUUUUUGCACAAAUAACAAGUAAAAAUCCUUAUGAAGCUUUAAAGGAUCGCAUUAGAAUUUAGAGUCCAAGCAGACGGGCAUAUUCUUCAGCAGCAUAAUCGGUGGUGGGCUUCCUAAUAUUUGUCCCCACAUUGUUUACCUAUGCCCAGAAGAUAUGACAAUUACGUCGUUCAAAAAAAUUUACACUGUCUGAAAAUUGGGCCAUCUAAAAACAGAAACAUACAUGUACAAGAGCAACAGAUUGGGAAUCAACAGUUUCUUCAGGACUUCUUUUUUGCACAAAUAACAAGUAAAAAUCCUUAUGAAGCUUUAAAAGAUCGCAUUGGAAUUUAGAGUCUGAAAACACAUGCGACCACACCAUUCAAAUGAGAACCUUAACAAUCACAUAUAUAGACUAUAGUGUAAGAGAACCUGUCUAAGUAAGCUCUUUUCUAUCUAUAUGUCCUAUUCUUUCACCAUUAAACAAGUAUUAACCAGUGAUGAAUUGGCCAAAAUCCUGAAAAACAUAGACAAAAUAUGUUUAUAAUGGCUAGAUAUCAUUACUAUGCACCCAUGUGCAUGGCGAAUUGGAUGGUGCCCUGAUUUAGCUUAGGUCACUGAUGACUCUAUCACUCAUCAAUUACUGUUAAGGAUCUCUUUGUGAAAAUCAUCCCCAUUUUUUAUGUGUGACUCCUCUUUUUAUGUCCUUAUCUUUUAUUUCUUCCUAAAA